CUGGCGUCCCUGGUUGCUGAGCAACCAGCCGGGGAGCCACAGACGGAAAGGACGCACCGGCCCUGUUGCCACACAACAACCGGGAGCCAGCGCGACCCGCUACACCACCACCGCUAACAAUAUCUCCUGUGUUUACUAAACUUUCACUGACAAACACCGACUUCAUAUUCGUUAUGGAGACAAUGAUGAGGGGCUUGUCUCCAAUAAUGAGACAUUAAAGUCUUUAUGCUACGAUUUGACCAUGUUUUGGUGGAGAUGGGUCAUUGGGUCUCAACCUGGCAGCCUACACUUGGCCUGAUAGCCAAGUACUUAUUACAGGUGUCCAGCUUCAGCAAUACCAGUCAUAGCACUCAAGUCCAUGCUUUAGCAUAGGAACUUAAAAAACAAGUAACUUCUAUUUCUUGAUCAUCGUCAUCAUCAUCAUCAUCAUCAUCAUCAUCAUCAUCAUAACUAGUGAUCCUCCUUCAUAAUUACUAGUCAUCCUCCCAUUUCCAAAUAAUUGAGGGUAUGUGGAUGCAAAAGGCUGUACAUUGUCUAAAAUUUCAGCUGACACCCUAAGGCUGUCUUCAACGUUAUAUAAAAG
Molecule: long non-coding RNA, 583 nt
Organism: Pseudophryne corroboree (corroboree frog)
Lineage: Eukaryota; Metazoa; Chordata; Amphibia; Anura; Myobatrachidae
Exons: 3
Source: RefSeq, a predicted model, not a curated record